CACGUAAUCGGACACACGUGGGCAGGAUGAAAAUUCUAAGGCGCUUGAGAGAACUCAGGAGAAGGAACUCGGCAAAUUGACACCGUAACUUCGGAAGAAGGUGUGCCCUGGUAGGUUGUAGCCGUACAGGCGAAGGCCGAAGGGGUUGCAAAAAAUCGGUGGCUGCGACUGUUUAAUAAAAACACAGCACUCUGCAAACACGAUGAGUGGACGUAUAGGGUGUGACGCCUGCCCGGUGCCGGAAGGUUAAAUGAUGGGGUGCAAGCUCUUGAUUGAAGCCCCGGUAAACGGCGGCCGUAACGAUAACGGUCCUAAGGUAGCGAAAUUCCUUGUCGGGUAAGUUCCGACCUGCACGAAUGGCGUAACGAUGGCCACACUGUCUCCUCCUGAGACUCAGCGAAGUUGAAAUGUUUGUGAUGAUGCAAUCUACCCGCGGCUAGACGGAAAGACCCCGUGCACCUUUACUGUAGCUUUGCAUUGGACUGUGAUGGGAUCUGUGUAGGAUAGGUGGGAGGCUUUGAAGUGGGGGCGCUAGCCCUCAUGGAGCCGACGUUGAAAUACCACCCUGAUGUCAUUGCGGUUCUAACCUUGGCCCCUUAGCGGGGUUGGGGACAGUGCAUGGUAGGCAGUUUGACUGGGGCGGUCUCCUCCCAAAGAGUAACGGAGGAGCUCGAAGGUACGCUAGGUACGGUCGGACAUCGUGCUGAUAGUGCAAUGGCACAAGCGUGCUUGACUGCGAGACUGACAAGUCGAGCAGGUGCGAAAGCAGGACAUAGUGAUCCGGUGGUUCUGAAUGGAAGGGCCAUCGCUCAACGGAUAAAAGGUACGCCGGGGAUAACAGGCUGAUUCCUCCCAAGAGUUCAUAUCGACGGGGGAGUUUGGCACCUCGAUGUCGGCUCAUCACAUCCUGGGGCUGUAGCCGGUCCCAAGGGUAUGGCUGUUCGCCAUUUAAAGUGGUACGUGAGCUGGGUUUAAAACGUCGUGAGACAGUUUGGUCCCUAUCUGCCGUGGGCGUUGGACGUUUGAGGGGGGCUGCUCCUAGUACGAGAGGACCGGAGUGGACGCACCUCUGGUGUACCGGUUAUCACGCCAGUGGUAUUGCCGGGUAGCUAAGUGCGGAAGAGAUAAGCGCUGAAAGCAUCUAAGCGCGAAACUUGCCUCGAGAUGAGACGUCCCGUGAUGUAAGUCACCUAAAGGGUCGCGGUAGACCACCGCGUUGAUAGGUCGGGUGUGGAAGCGCAGUAAUGCGUUAAGCUAACCGAUACUAAUUGCCCGUGCGGCUUGAUCCA
Molecule: ribosomal RNA, 1289 nt
Filed under: metagenome
Description: bacterial LSU rRNA
Rfam family: Bacterial large subunit ribosomal RNA
Source: RNAcentral